GCCCAGCUCAAGUCACCUAUCCGGGCGGAAUAGCCGCCGCUCUCCUAAAGCGGGUGUCGCAUGUUCGAAUCAUGCCGGGGGCA
RNAcentral lists this transfer RNA (83 nucleotides) under Streptosporangium roseum DSM 43021. Its description in RNAcentral is "tRNA-Arg (CCT) (tRNA-Arg-CCT-2-1)". Lineage: Bacteria; Bacillati; Actinomycetota; Actinomycetes; Streptosporangiales; Streptosporangiaceae. The record is from RNAcentral.